UUACAUGCUGUUAGGUGUGGAAGGGCUGCUAGAGGACAUGUGGAAUAGUACAAAUAAGGAAAAUGAGGCAUUCUUGGGCAACUUGUACCUUUGAUAGACAAUAUGGCCACAUUGUGCGUCUAAAUUAAGCUUCAGUAAAUUAAGCUUCAGAAAAUCAUCAGAUCCACACUUGCAUUAUGGAAUGAGUGGCUCAAGAUGUUUUCAUGCAAAACAAAAAUAAUUUAUUUUAGUUUAAAUACAAGUGAUGCAAUAUAAAAGGGAAAAUAACAACAUUUAAGAAGUAAAAUGGCAUAAUCAUUAACUUGCAAUUAAGGAAUAAUAUAAACCAUCAAGGCUUAGGGUUCAGGGUAUCUCUGUUUUACCUCCUCAUGACUGUGUUUGAAUUAAGUAACUUUGGAAUAAGUAACUUUGCUUCUUUGUGCCUCAGUUUUCUCAUUUGUAAAAUGGACACAAUGAAAUCUGCCUCAUAAAAUUGAUGGAGAAUUAAUUAAUAUUUAGAAAGUGCUUGAAAUAUAACCUAGCACACAGAAACACUUAAUACAUUAUGUUAUUAUCAUUAUAAUAAAUAAUCAAGUAAUCUGUUUUAUAGCUAAGAAGGAAGAAAUUAAGACUAGCUCAUCAUAGUGCAUAUAAUUUAAGUAUAUAUACUAUUGUGUGACCAAUCCAAUAACUUCUCAAUCUCUCUGGAAAAUAUCUUCCAUAAAGUCUGCAGAAAUAAAAUAGUUACAUUCAUAGCCCCCUAGUUGCUAGCCAUGGCCAUAGGACAAAGUUUUGCCCAAUAAACUAUAAGCAGAAAUCUGAGAGAGGUUUCUGGAAAACCUUUGCUGACUUUGAGCUGUCUAUAUAAACCAUUCUUAAACUAACAAUAUUUUGAGAUUUUCACAUCCGUAUUUCCUAUGGCAGUUGUAAACUCUUGCAGGAAAAGAAUGUUUAAAGUGCAACUUGCAUUUUAGUACUGUUAACACACAGUGCUAGCAGUGAAUUAAACAAACGAAAUACAGUUGUUUUUAUUCCAUCCUCAGUGUUACCUUAAUACAGCUAAUUGAUAUGGAGAUGUUUUUUAAAAAGCAAAACAAGUUUUCACCUUUACAGUACAUGCUUUAGAAUAAUAGGUCUUCAGAAUGAUCACACGAUGCUAAAUUCAGCUUGUUUUCUUUAAUUUACUUUCUGGAAACCUACGAAGGUGCAUAGAGAAUUCUUUAGACAUGGAGACUUUGUAAAGCAUUGUUAAUUUGCCCUCUCAAAUUUCACUUGGAGCUAUGUUUUAAAAAGAGGAA
This 1277-nucleotide long non-coding RNA is filed under the name Homo sapiens (human). RNAcentral describes it as "HSALNT0146724". Lineage: Eukaryota; Metazoa; Chordata; Mammalia; Primates; Hominidae. The record is from RNAcentral.